This 1681-nucleotide ribosomal RNA is filed under the name Codonellopsis americana. RNAcentral's name for it is "SSU rRNA". It matches the Rfam family "Eukaryotic small subunit ribosomal RNA". Lineage: Eukaryota; Ciliophora; Spirotrichea; Tintinnida; Codonellopsidae. The record is from RNAcentral.
GAAACUGCGAAUGGCUCAUUAAAACAGUUAUAGUUUAUUUGGUAAUCAAACUUACAUGGAUAACCGUGGUAAUUCUAGAGCUAAUACAUGCUGUUGCGCCCGACUCACGAAGGGCCGUAUUUAUUAGAUAUCAGCCAAUAAGCAUCUGCUAUUGUGGUGACUCAUAGUAACUUAAUCGGAUCGCAUGGGCUUGUCCCGCGACAAACCAUUCAAGUUUCUGCCCCAUCAUGCUUUCGAUGGUAGUGUAUUGGACUACCAUGGCUUUCACGGGUAACGGAGGAUUAGGGUUCGAUUCCGGAGAGGGAGCCUGAGAAACGGCUACCACUUCCACGGAAGGCAGCAGGCGCGUAAAUUACCCAAUCCUGACUCAGGGAGGUAGUGACAAGAAAUAAUGGGUCGGGGUUCUGCCCCGGGACUGCAAUGAGACGAAUUUAGACCCCUUAUCGAGGACCAAUUGGAGGGCAAGUCUGGUGCCAGCAGCCGCGGUAAUUCCAGCUCCAAUAGCGUAUAUUAAAGUUGUUGCAGUUAAAAAGCUCGUAGUUGGAUUUCUGGUAGUGGGUAAGAGCUCGUUGCACGUUGCUCGCGUUCAUUGCCAUCCUUCUGUUAACCUAUCAGGGCAUUCUAUUGUCAGUUAGGGGCUCAGAUAUUUUACCUUGAGAAAAUUAGAGUGUUUCAGGCAGGCUUGUGCCCGGAUACAUUAGCAUGGAAUAAUGGAAUAGGACUUUAGCCUCUUCUGUUGGUCUGAGGGGUUGAAGUAAUGAUUAAUAGGGAUAGUUGGGGGCAUUAGUACUUAACUGUCAGAGGUGAAAUUCUCGGAUUUGUUAAAGACUAACUUAUGCGAAAGCAUUUGCCAAGGAUGUUUUCAUUAAUCAAGAACGAAAGUUAGGGGAUCAAAGACGAUCAGAUACCGUCCUAGUCUUAACCAUAAACUAUGCCGACUCGGGAUCGGGGGCCAGAGUUAACUGCCUUCGGCACCGUAUGAGAAAUCAAAGUCUUUGGGUUCUGGGGGGAGUAUGGUCGCAAGGCUGAAACUUAAAGGAAUUGACGGAAGGGCACCACCAGGCGUGGAGCUUGCGGCUCAAUUUGACUCAACACGGGGAAACUUACCAGGUCCAGACAUAGUGAGGAUUGACAGAUUGAUAGCUCUUUCUUGAUUCUGUGGGUGGUGGUGCAUGGCCGUUCUUAGUUGGUGGAGUGAUUUGUCUGGUUAAUUCCGUUAACGAACGAGACCUUAGCCUACUAAAUAGUCGCAACAAUUACGAUUGGCUGCGUCUUCUUAGAGGGACUUUGCAAGCAACUGCAAGGAAGUUUGAGGCAAUAACAGGUCUGUGAUGCCCUUAGAUGUCCUGGGCCGCACGCGUGCUACACUGACGCAUACAGCGAGUAUCACCAGCUCCGUGAGGCUGCUGGUAAUCAGCAAUAUGCGUCGUGCUGGGGAUAGAUCUUUGGAAUUUUUGAUCUUGAACGAGGAAUGCCUAGUAAGCGCAGGUCAUCAGCCUGCGUUGAUUAAGUCCCUGCCCUUUGUACACACCGCCCGUCGCUCCUACCGAUUUCGAGUGGUCCGGUGAACCCUUUGGACCGAGAGCGCCUCGUGUGCUUUUGGAAAGUCGAGUAAACCACAUCACUUAGAGGAAGGACAAGUCGUAACAAGGUUUCCGUAGGUGAACCUGCAGAAGGAUCA